CAUGUUCUAUUUGCUGGGGGCAGAUAAAAUGAAUAUGCGUGUCGAUACCGCCGGCAGUGGCAAUCAACGCCGCGCCGCCAUGCACUUCGGUGGAAGCGCCAAUGAUCAUAUUGGGCGAAACACCAUCCAUGGUAUCGGGGUUGCCUGCCUUGCCGAUGCCCACGAUGCGGCCAUCCCUGAUCCCUAUAUCGCCUUUUACAAUACCCCAAUGGUCGAUGAUGAUGACAUUGGUGAUCACAAAAUCGAGUACGCCAUCGCUGCGCAGGGCAGUAGCCGAUUGGGCCAUGCCAUCGCGGAUG
RNAcentral lists this small RNA (299 nucleotides) under Cnuella takakiae. Its description in RNAcentral is "5' ureB small RNA". It matches the Rfam family "5' ureB small RNA". The record is from Rfam by way of RNAcentral. Lineage: Bacteria; Pseudomonadati; Bacteroidota; Chitinophagia; Chitinophagales; Chitinophagaceae.